Molecule: ribosomal RNA, 643 nt
Filed under: uncultured Actinomycetes bacterium
Lineage: Bacteria; Bacillati; Actinomycetota; Actinomycetes
Description: bacterial SSU rRNA
Rfam family: Bacterial small subunit ribosomal RNA
Source: RNAcentral
CGCGGCCUAUCAGCUUGUUGGUGGGGUAAUGGCCUACCAAGGCGACGACGGGUAGCCGGCCUGAGAGGGUGACCGGCCACACUGGGACUGAGACACGGCCCAGACUCCUACGGGAGGCAGCAGUGGGGAAUAUUGCACAAUGGGCGCAAGCCUGAUGCAGCGACGCCGCGUGAGGGAUGACGGCCUUCGGGUUGUAAACCUCUUUCGCCAGGGACGAAGCGCGAGUGACGGUACCUGGAUAAGAAGCACCGGCUAACUACGUGCCAGCAGCCGCGGUAAUACGUAGGGUGCGAGCGUUGUCCGGAAUUAUUGGGCGUAAAGAGCUCGUAGGCGGUUUGUCGCGUCGGCUGUGAAAUCCGGAGGCUUAACCUUCAGCGUGCAGUCGAUACGGGCAGACUUGAGUUCGGCAGGGGAGACUGGAAUUCCUGGUGUAGCGGUGAAAUGCGCAGAUAUCAGGAGGAACACCGGUGGCGAAGGCGGGUCUCUGGGCCGAUACUGACGCUGAGGAGCGAAAGCGUGGGGAGCGAACAGGAUUAGAUACCCUGGUAGUCCACGCUGUAAACGUUGGGCGCUAGGUGUGGGCGACAUUCCACGUUGUCCGUGCCGUAGCUAACGCAUUAAGUGCCCCGCCUGGGGAGUACGG